Syngnathoides biaculeatus (alligator pipefish) is the source of this 569-nucleotide long non-coding RNA. RefSeq lists it as uncharacterized. The record is from RefSeq and is a predicted model, not a curated record. The transcript has 5 exons. Lineage: Eukaryota; Metazoa; Chordata; Actinopteri; Syngnathiformes; Syngnathidae.
GCAGAACCACCACGAACACGGAGCCGUUGCUCAACAGGACGAGCAGUAAGAAAGCCACCACCGCCACGUAGAAGACGAUGUCGUUCUGCAGCCAGCAGCUGGGAUCAAGCAGUCAGUCAAACGCGGUUUGCAAAUUCAGGGUCUGCCCGUUGACAGCUGGGAUAGGCUCCAGCACUCCCGUGACCCUUCUGAGGAUAAGCGGCUAAGAAAAUGGAUGCAUGGAUGGAUGACAUUUUUUUUAUUUAGUCAUAACGGACCUCCAAUGCGGCCUGUGACAAAAAUGAGUUUGACACCCCCCUCCGCCCCACUUUGGGUUAUUUUUGAAAGAUGGCGGAGCAAAUGGAGCGCGACGAGAGGAAGAAGCCGAAGGGCGCGGCGCAGUCAAACAGCAAACGUUACAGUGCAGUGGAAAAGGUCCGACACGAGUGGAUAAAAGAACUUGAGGAUGUAAGCGGACACGUAGGUGUUGAAGAUCUUGACCAGGGCGAAGUACAUGUGGACGGCCUCCAGGGCCAUCCAGGCGAAGGAGGCCAGCAGGAAGUAGUGCAGCGCGGCGCCGGCGAAGAUGC